UGGUAAAAAUAAAAGCCUAUGGAUCUAAAC
RNAcentral lists this non-coding RNA (30 nucleotides) under Mus musculus (house mouse). The record is from RNAcentral. Lineage: Eukaryota; Metazoa; Chordata; Mammalia; Rodentia; Muridae.